This 91-nucleotide transfer RNA is filed under the name bacterium. RNAcentral describes it as "tRNA-Ser". It matches the Rfam family "tRNA". From Rfam's summary of the family: Transfer RNA (tRNA) molecules are approximately 80 nucleotides in length. Their secondary structure includes four short double-helical elements and three loops (D, anti-codon, and T loops). The record is from RNAcentral.
GGAGAGGUGUCCGAGUGGUUGAAGGUGCCGCUCUCGAAAUGCGGUGUGGACUAAACAUCCACCGUGGGUUCGAAUCCCAUCCUCUCCGCCA